UACCAGCUCUCCGAGUGGUAGGGAUGAUUAUUGGGCUUAAAGCGUCCGUAGCCGGCUUAGCAAGUCUCCUGUUAAAUUCAGCGACCUAAUCGUUGAGCCGCGGGAGAUACUACUAGGCUAGGAGGCGGGAGAGGUCAACGGUACUUCCGGGGUAGGGGUGAAAUCCUAUAAUCCCGGGAGGACCACCAGUGGCGAAGGCUGUUGACUAGAACGCGCUCGACGGUGAGGGACGUAAGCUGGGGGAGCGAACCGGAUUAGAUACCCGGGUAGUCCCAGCUGUAAACGAUGCGAGCUAGGUGUUGGGGUGGCUACGUGCCACUUCAGUGCCGCAGGGAAGCCAUUAAGCUCGCCGCCUGGGGAGUACGGCCGCAAGGCUGAAACUUAAAGGAAUUGGCGGGGAGCACCACAAGGCGUGAAGCUUGCGGUUC
This 428-nucleotide ribosomal RNA is filed under the name uncultured archaeon. RNAcentral describes it as "bacterial SSU rRNA". It matches the Rfam family "Archaeal small subunit ribosomal RNA", at positions 474 to 903 of the family's 1478-position model. The record is from RNAcentral.